GCUUGUCUCAAAGAUUAAGCCAUGCAUGUCUAAGUAUAACUCUUUUACUUUGAAAACUGCGAACGGCUCAUUAUAUCAGUUAUAGUUUCUUUGAUAGUCCCUUACUACUUGGAUACCCGUAGUAAUUCUAGAGCUAAUACAUGCGAAAAGACGCGACUCACGAAGCGUUGUAUUUAUUAGAUACAAAACCAAUGCGGGGCAACCCGGUAUAAGGUGAUUCAUAAUAACUUUGCGAAUCGCAUGGCCUUGCGCCGGCGAUGAAUCAUUCAAAUUUCUGCCCUAUCAACUUUCGAUGGUAAGGUAUUGGCUUACCAUGGUCGCAACGGGUAACGGGGAAUAAGGGUUCGGUUCCGGAGAGGGAGCCUGAGAAAUGGCUACCACAUCCAAGGAAGGCAGCAGG
RNAcentral lists this ribosomal RNA (400 nucleotides) under uncultured Salpingoecidae. RNAcentral's name for it is "partial small subunit ribosomal RNA". It matches the Rfam family "Eukaryotic small subunit ribosomal RNA", at positions 30 to 432 of the family's 1831-position model. Lineage: Eukaryota; Choanoflagellata; Craspedida; Salpingoecidae. The record is from RNAcentral.